Long non-coding RNA from Setaria italica (foxtail millet), 1523 nucleotides. RefSeq lists it as uncharacterized. NCBI's taxonomy places the organism in Eukaryota, Viridiplantae, Streptophyta, Magnoliopsida, Poales, Poaceae. The transcript has 3 exons. The record is from RefSeq and is a predicted model, not a curated record.
CCACUCGGCCACUCCCACCGUUCUCACCAGUCAGCACUCAGCAGUCACCCCGACCCCCUCCGGCUGCUUCACCUCCCGAUCCCCUGCCCGAAACCCUAACCCUAGCCGACGAGGAUGCCGAAAGCUGGCGGCGGCGGCGGCGGCGGCAUACGCAUUCCGCGCCGAGGUGGAGGAGCGCCUCAUCAACGAGGAUUGCGAGAUCUGAAGGACAACACUCGGCUUCCUCUACGGCCUCGCCGUCGCCCAGGCGCUCGAGCUCGAGUGGCCCCUCCCCUCAUCGUGCGGUGGCUCCCCGACUGCGACGAGCCGCGGGGGAAGGGCCACUCCUUGCAGAAGAUUGGCGCGCGCACCUCCGGCGACCCAUCGACCUGAUGCUCGCGCAGGUACAGCGGCCCAUCGACGACGCCUAGGGUGACGUGCUCCACUACGACGACUACCACGCUGACAUCCGCCGCGCCCGUCUAAGCUGCAGAGGGAUGAAAGUGAGACUAGCAGCCACUUGUCCGGACACUUUCCCUGAUGGUGUGAUGGACCAGAGGGAUAUGUUCAUCGACGCCUUCUCUGAUGUUACUGUUAGACUUGUAUUGCCGCCUCCAUUGAUGAGCUACUUCCAAAUCCAGCCUACCUUGCUGCAGACCAUAGUGGAGCCCUAACUCAUACCGUCACAAAGAUAUCCAAUUCAUAAAUAAAUCUGUAAGUCCUUUAUGUGUUGACGUUUGGAAAGACUGGUAAUAAGAAGCCUUUGACUCUCUUUACUUUAAUAAACAUUUCUUCUUUCCAAAAGGUUGGUCAUCUUGGAAAACUAUUGUUUUAUCAAUUGUGCACCCCUACCGUGUUAAGAUGGUGUGCAUUUUUUGGAUAGUUUGCUGGAGGCAAUGGAAUAUGCAUAUAGCACAUGGAGGAGAAUCUGGAUCAACAGAUCAAGGAGGAUUACAUUGCUUGAAAGAGCAUGCUGUUUUUGUAUGAAUUGAUAUUAUCCAAGGGCUCGAUCAGCAAGCGCCAACCGAAAGCGUUGAUGAUGGGGUUGUACAGGAACAAUGUGUGCUUGUAGAGGGAUGAAAUUGAGGCUAGCGGACACUUCUCUGAACACUUUACCUGAUGGUGUGAUGUACUCCUUGAAACCACUCUGGAUUAGUCAGUCUAGCACCUUGGUGCUGCCACAUCUGAUACUGUUGCAUUGCUGGUCCCUGCACUGUCCAGGCUCACUUCUGCUCAAAGGAAUAAGCACUUGCCCAUCUUGAUCAUCAUAUUGGGGGCAUCAAGUCCAUAAUACUAUCGGUUUUGUCGCACUCCAAAGAGGAUCUUCUAUGAGUACGAUGAACUGUUGGGCACGCACGGAAUGUCGGAACUUCAAUUUUAGCUGCCAGAUUGAGCAUGUGUUUAGCCAAUUGCCACAUCAUGUGAAUUGCGCACGCAAUACAUGAUCUGCUGAAAUCAUUGUAAAAAAGAUAUGUGCUGUACGCUAUGACAUGCGAUAUUAGUUAUUUUCAAUCAAUCAAAUUUAUUGCACUUGGGUCAAGAAA